UGCAGUCGAGCGGCAGCGACAACAUUGAUUCUUCGGAGGAUUUGUUGGGCGGCGAGCGGCGGACGGGUGAGUAAUGGCUGGGAACCUGCCCUGACGUGGGGGAUAACAGUUGGAAACGACUGCUAAUACCGCAUGAUGUCUUUGGACCAAAGAGGAGGACCUUCGGGCUUCUCGCGUCGGGAUGGGCCCAGUUGGGAUUAGCUAGUUGGUGAGGUAAUGGCUCACCAAGGCGACGAUCCCUAGCUGGUUUGAGAGGAUGAUCAGCCACACUGGAACUGAGACACGGUCCAGACUCCUACGGGAGGCAGCAGUGGGGAAUAUUGCACAAUGGGCGCAAGCCUGAUGCAGCCAUGCCGCGUGUGUGAAGAAGGCCUUCGGGUUGUAAAGCACUUUCAGCAGUGAGGAAGGCGUAGUGGUUAAUACCCGCUGCGCUUGACAUUAGCUGCAGAAGAAGCACCGGCUAACUCCGUGCCAGCAGCCGCGGUAAUACGGAGGGUGCGAGCGUUAAUCGGAAUUACUGGGCGUAAAGCGCAUGCAGGCGGUUUGUUAAGCAAGAUGUGAAAGCCCCGGGCUCAACCUGGGAACCGCAUUUUGAACUGGCAGGCUAGAGUCUUGUAGAGGGGGGUAGAAUUUCAGGUGUAGCGGUGAAAUGCGUAGAGAUCUGAAGGAAUACCGGUGGCGAAGGCGGC
RNAcentral lists this ribosomal RNA (689 nucleotides) under uncultured Vibrio sp. Its description in RNAcentral is "bacterial SSU rRNA". It matches the Rfam family "Bacterial small subunit ribosomal RNA", at positions 56 to 725 of the family's 1533-position model. The record is from RNAcentral. Lineage: Bacteria; Pseudomonadati; Pseudomonadota; Gammaproteobacteria; Vibrionales; Vibrionaceae.